AAAUAGCCCAGGCCCGAGGCAGCCAGGCCGCAGCUGUGGACUCCUCGCCUCCUGGAGGCUCUGCUGGUGCAGGCCCCGCACUGGAGGGCUCGAUUGGCUGCCCGGCUGGCACUGACGUCCCCUUGGAGCCGGGUGGCAGCAGAGAUAAACAGCCAUGUGCAACUCUCCACCCUAUAUUUAACAGCUGCGGCGGAGAAGGCAGGGAGGCAGCCACGGUGGCGGCUCUGGGGGCAGCUCUUGUCUUCGGGGAGAAGGCCCUUGGAGCCGGGCUGGCAUCGGCCUUCUCAGGGUGAGCGAGGUCACCAUGCCAGCUUCCCAGAGCCGGGCCCGUGCCCGGGACCGCAACAACGUCCUCAACCGGGCUGAGUUCCUGUCCCUGAACCAGCCCCCCAAGGGGGGCCCGGAGCCCCGCAGCUCGGGCAGAAAGGCCUCGGGCCCAUCGGCACAGCCCCCACCUGCUGGUGACGGGGCCCGAGAGCGACGCCAGUCACAGCAGCUGCCAGAGGAGGACUGCAUGCAGCUGAACCCCUCCUUCAAGGGCAUCGCCUUCAACUCCCUGCUGGCCAUCGAUAUCUGUAUGUCCAAGCGGCUGGGGGUGUGCGCCGGCAGAGCGGCGUCCUGGGCCAGUGCCCGCUCCAUGGUCAAGCUCAUCGGCAUCACGGGCCACGGCAUCCCCUGGAUCGGAGGCACCAUCCUCUGCCUGGUGAAGAGCAGCACACUGGCCGGCCAGGAGGUGCUCAUGAAUCUGCUUCUGGGAAUGUUUGCUUUUAAGAACAUUUCCCCUGCCCCAACCAUUGAAAAAUUUACAACCUACUUGUUAAGAUAAGGCUUCAGGCUCAUUCCAGCAGCCAGCUGCCAUGGGCACAAAACUGUUUGCCCCACAGGAUAAAGAUGAAGAUUUGAGAUGCCUUCCUCCUUGAACAGAAGUGAUAGACAUUUUAAAAAAUCUUUAAAAACAUCAUUUAUUGAGCUUUAUUAUGUACCAAAGACAAUGGCAUGAACGGCCUGUAUUUUAUGAUGUAAAAAAGCUGCUGAUGACCUUUCAAGGUAAAUAUUAAUAUGCCCAUUUUACAGACGAGUAAACUGAGGCUCAGAAAGCUCAAGCAACUUGCCUACCACACAGCUAUAAGCGGUAGGUUCAGGAAGUAAAUCCAAGGCCCUGUGACUGCAAACCCGCCACUCCUUGCUGCUCACCGUGGGGCUGCAGGUCGGGCGUAUCACCAGUGUUCACUGCACUCCUGGAGCAUGUAUGCUUUGUGGAGGGGAAUGAUCUGGGAGGAGGUUGACUGUCUUCAUAUCCAGGUAUUGAGACCAUGGGGACAUAGGGCCUGGCACAAGUCAGGCAUUCAGCACAGGCCACAGAGCAGGCCGGGUGGGUCUGGGGACCCUGAGGUCAUUCCGUGGGGAUGCCAGCCCAGCCCUCGGCUUGGUGGGGGAAAAUGGCAGCAAAUGGCCAAGGCAGGCUCUAAUCCUGCAGCUGUGGUCUGACCUGCCAGGAAGGAAGGUCCCACGGUCCCCUGCCCCGGGGAAAGCAGACCACCCACUGAGCACACGCUGCAGGUUCCAUCUGUCCUUUUGUCUUUGGAGGGCACCCUUCAACCCUGGAGCAUAGGCUCUGGGGUCAGACUGGCUGUUGUCCAGGUCCUUGCUCUGACCCUUACUUGCUGUACGCACAUGCUCAAGUCAGUUCCUGUCUCUGAGCCUCAGUUUCCCUAUCUGGGGGCUGAGGGGGAUGUGGCAGGGAUGUGAAGGGAGCUGGCAAAGCAUUUGGCAUGGUGGAUGCCAUGCCGCACAGUGACAUCACUGCAAUACUGAAGGGGGAGGGAGCCCUGCCUAGCCCUGCCCACCCGCUCUGGCCCCGUGGCACUGAGCUAACCCCCAGGGGCAGUCUCUGGGCUGGAAGCAAGACCUCCGAGCUUGUGGUUGGGACCUGGGUUCCACUUGGCUCUGAAGAGGCAGACUUGGGAGCUUAGGAAAUGGGAGCUGCAGCUACGAGGCCUAGGAAGGGUCCCACUGGGCCCAGGGAAGUUCUCUGCAUGCUCCCUGCUUGCCCCUCCCCUAGUGCACACUGUCAAGACUAGAAAGCUCAGAGCCAGAAGGGGUCUUAGCAGCAGGCAAAAGCUUCGACUCCAGAGGCAGCUGGACCUGGGUGCAAAUCCCAGCCCUACUGUGGGAACUCAGGCAAGUGACUUUGCCUCUUUGAGCCCCAGUUUCUUCAUCUGUCAGAUGGGUUGUUGGGAAAUGUCCCUGAUGAAUCACACAUGAAGUGCUUGGCACUUACUGAUGUUGGUUAACGCUUAUGUAGCAAUGAUUAUCAUCAUCAUUAUCACCAUCAUCAUUGUCAGAAGUCCAGGACUAGCCUCCUGCCGGGUACCUUCCAAGCUCUAGAUGCCUUGAGACCACCUGUCCCCUUCUCCCUCCCGAGCAGCACCCAGCUUGAUGAUCUGAAGGGAGCCAGGUGACAGGUGACAGGUGACCAGGCCCAUCCUGGUUCACUAAGCCCAUCCUUGUUUCCUCAUGGGCCUGUCCUGUGAUUGGAAAUGCCUCCGGUCUUGUUCCUUGAUCUAUGUCCUUUAUGAAAGUAUCUUUUUGUUUGUUUGUUUUUUUGUUUUUGAGACAGAGUCUCUCUCUGUUGCCCAGGCUGGAGUGCAGUGAUAAGAUCUUGGCUCACUGCAACCUCUGCCUCCCGGGUUCAAGCAAUUCUCCAACAUGCCUGGACGACAGAGUGAGACUCCGUCUAAAAAAAAAAGCAUUUUUAUUGAGAUUUUCCUGAAUAUGAAAAAUACUUUUUUUUUUUUUUGAGACGGAGUCUCGCUGUGUCACCCAUGCUGGAGUGCAGUGCUGUGAUCUCGGCUCACAGCAACCUCUGCCUCCCUGGUUCAAGUGAUUCUCCUGCCUCAGCCUCCCGAGUAGCUGGGAUUACAGGUGCCCACCACCACGCCUGGCUAAUUUUUGUAUUUUUGGUAGAGAUGGAGUUUCACCAUGUUGGCCAGGCUGGUCUUGAACUGCUGACCUCAUGAUCCACCUGCAUUGGCUUCCCAAAGUGCUGGGAUUACAGGAGUGAGCCACCACGCCUGGCUAGGAAAACUACAUUUUUAUGUCAUUUUUUAUUGUGAUAAGCUGUACCUCACAUAAAAUUGAUCAUUGUAAUCAUUUGAAGCGUACAAUUCAGUGGCAUUGAGUCCAUUCACACUGUUGUGCAGCCGUCACCACCAUCCAUCUCCAGAACUCUUUUCAUCUUUCAUCUUAAAACACAGAAGCUCUGUCCCCAUUAAGCACUGACUCCCCACUCCCCCUCCCCCAGCCCCUGGCAACCUCCAUUCUACACUCUGUCUCUGGAUUUGACUGUUCUAGGGACCUCACAUAAGUGGAAUCAUACUGUAUUUGUCUUUUGUGACUGGCUGAUUUCAUUUAGCAUGAUAUCCUCGAGGUCCAUCCAUGCUGUAGCAGGCGCCGGCAUUUUCUUCCUCUCUAAGGCUGAAUAAUGCUCAGUUACAGGAUGGACCACAUUUCAUGUAUCCAUUCGUCCACCCAUGGACACUUCGGUUGCUUCCACCUUUUAGCUGUUCUGAAUAACGCUGCCAUGCGCACAGGUGUAUAUGUAUCUUCUUGAGCCCCUGCUUUCAGUUAUUUUGGUUGUAUACUCGGAAUCAAGCUGCUGGAUCACAGGGUAAUUUUAUGUUGACUUGUUUGAGGACCUGUCCUACUGUUGCCCACAGCGGCUGCGUGAUUUUACAUUCCCCCAGCAAUGCCCAAGGGCUCCGAUAUGUCCGCAUCUUUGCCAACACUCAUUGUCUGGUUUUUCAAUCAGAGCCAUCCUAAUGGGUAUGAAGUGGUAUCUCUUGUGGUUUUGGGUAUUUUUUGUUUGUUUUUGUUUUUUUUUUUUUUGUUUGGGGGGUUUUAGUUAGUUUGUUUUUUGAGACAGAGUCUCACUCUGUCACCAGCCUGGAGUGCAGUGGUGCGAUCUCGGUUCACUGCAACUUCCGCCUCCCGGGUUCAAGUGAUUCUCCUGCCUCUGCCUCCCAAGUAGCUGGUACUACAGGCGCCUGCCACCAUGCCUGGCUAAUUUUUCAUAGAGAUGAGCUUUCACCAUGUUGGCCAGGCUGGUCUCAAACUCUUAACCUUAAGUGAUCCUCCUGCCUUGGCCUCCCAAAGUGCUAGGAUUACAGGCGUGAGCCACCGGCCCUCAUUGUGGUUUUGCUUUGCAUUUCCCUAACCAUCAGUGAUGUUGGGCGCCUUUUCAUUAUACAUUCUUUUUUUUUUUUUUUUGAGACCGAGUCUCACUCUGUUGCCCAGGCUGGAGUGCAGUGGCGCCAUCUCGGCUCACUGCAACCUCCGCCUCCUGAGUUCAAGUGAUUUUCCUGCCUCAGCCUCCUGCGUAGGCAGGGAUUACAGGUGCACGCCACCAUGCCUAGCUCAUUUUUU
Molecule: RNA transcript, 4425 nt
Organism: Pongo pygmaeus (Bornean orangutan)
Lineage: Eukaryota; Metazoa; Chordata; Mammalia; Primates; Hominidae
Gene: PLPP7
Gene name: phospholipid phosphatase 7 (inactive)
Exons: 3
Source: RefSeq, a predicted model, not a curated record